This 841-nucleotide long non-coding RNA is filed under the name Vigna radiata. Its description in RNAcentral is "long non-coding RNA (VRAD_LNC003266)". The record is from RNAcentral. Lineage: Eukaryota; Viridiplantae; Streptophyta; Magnoliopsida; Fabales; Fabaceae.
GAAAAAAAGUCAUGUCCUUAUUUGCUCCAUAGUUGUCAAUUGGUCAUGUCAAUCUGAUAGGGCACAUGUCAGACAAGUUCUUUGCUUGGAGAAAGAUGAAGAAAAUAUAAGCACAUGUCACACAAGUUCUUUGCUUGGAGAAAGAUGAAGAAAAUAUAAGCAGGUUAAAUGAUAGAAUCAUCUAGCUGCAAGAACUUGUUACUGUUUUAAUUUAUGUCAUUGAUUUUUUUCCUUUCUCUUCAUGGACUGUAUUACCAUAGUAUGAGCUUUUAUCUGUAGGUAUAAACAGUUUGUCUUCUUGUUGAACAAGUAUUGCUAAUUCAAGUUUAAUUGUUACUUAAUUUUCUAACUUGUAUGGUUUUUCUUUUAAUAUUUCAUUCUGGUAACGCAUUCUUUUGUUUAGUUUAGAAGUGAAGGCUUAGGGCAAGUCUUGGAGAAAUAAUAAAGCUCUGCAUCAUGACUUGGUGUUCAGUUGUUGAAGUUGUAGUUGUAGAAACUGUACCUUUGCUCAUAUCCGAAUUACCUCAAUGUUGAGAGCCUUAAUCAUGAGUGAGUAUAGACUAGGAAUUGCUACUGUGAAACUGAAGCCCCUAUGCAUUAUACUCUUGUCUUUGAGAUUAAUGCUUUGUUCUCUUGUAGUGAUACGAGGGAGGAGAUGAUUUGGAGGAGAUGAUUUGAAUGGAUUUGAGUCAAUUUGAGUGGAUUUGAAGAUGAUUUAUUGGAUUUGUGGGUAAUUAAGAGUGUAUUUGAAAAUAAAGUUUGUACGAAUUACUGUAAGAUCUGAUUGAUGUGAUAGAUUUAAAAAAUUAGUUUAAUUAAUAGAAAUUGAAGAUUACCAAAA